Long non-coding RNA from Dipodomys ordii (Ord's kangaroo rat), 662 nucleotides. RefSeq lists it as uncharacterized. The record is from RefSeq and is a predicted model, not a curated record. Lineage: Eukaryota; Metazoa; Chordata; Mammalia; Rodentia; Heteromyidae. The transcript has 3 exons.
UGCCUGGGAAGUGAAGUUCCGUAUGCUGAUUGGCUUAUGCUCUCCGCGUCCCUGCGCGUGGACUCCUGGGAUAUGUAGUUUUCCCCUCUAGGAACAGGGAACUGCUGUGUGUUCAUUGGCUGCUUGGGAAGGCGGAAGCGACAAGUGAGGGACUCCAUGACUCAAAGCCGACUGAUACUUUCUCAGUACUUUAUUCUGACUGUGUGUCAACCAGAGGACGUUCUGUGGUGGUCUAUUUGUCCCAUCCUCCCUAGAAUACACCUGGAUCAGAGGAAGUAUUCCCACAAGCAUAUCAGAAACCACAUUACUCAUUAAACAGAAUUCACCGUUUUGUUUUUCUUUGUCUUUCCAUUCAAGAUGUCAUCUGUUAUAGACUGGCAGAUAGUAAAUGAUGUGCUGAAUAUCACCAGCCAGUGAGCAAAAAGCGGAAGACUGACUCACCCAAGAAUCCUUUGUGGGGACAUUGAAGAUUGAAAACAAAAACAAAAAACAAAACACCGCAGAUAAAAAAGAUGAUUGGCAAUCUCAGUGUGGAAGGUGUGGCUACCCUAAGGCUGAAGAUUACAGAAGACACCCCUCUACCCCUGAGGCUACAAAGGAGGAAAAGAGACGCUGGGCCUGACAACUAUGGCUCCUGCCUGUGUCAUCCUCUCUUCUCUGGA